UGCAAGUCGAGCGGUUGACGGGAGCUUGCUCCCUGAUUCAGCGGCGGACGGGUGAGUAAUGCCUAGGAAUCUGCCUAUUAGUGGGGGACAACGUUUCGAAAGGAACGCUAAUACCGCAUACGUCCUACGGGAGAAAGCAGGGGACCUUCGGGCCUUGCGCUAAUAGAUGAGCCUAGGUCGGAUUAGCUAGUUGGUGGGGUAAAGGCUCACCAAGGCGACGAUCCGUAACUGGUCUGAGAGGAUGAUCAGUCACACUGGAACUGAGACACGGUCCAGACUCCUACGGGAGGCAGCAGUGGGGAAUAUUGGACAAUGGGCGAAAGCCUGAUCCAGCCAUGCCGCGUGUGUGAAGAAGGUCUUCGGAUUGUAAAGCACUUUAAGUUGGGAGGAAGGGUUGUAGAUUAAUACUCUGCAAUUUUGACGUUACCGACAGAAUAAGCACCGGCUAACUCUGUGCCAGCAGCCGCGGUAAUACAGAGGGUGCAAGCGUUAAUCGGAAUUACUGGGCGUAAAGCGCGCGUAGGUGGUUUGUUAAGUUGGAUGUGAAAGCCCCGGGCUCAACCUGGGAACUGCAUCCAAAACUGGCAAGCUAGAGUACGGUAGAGGGUGGUGGAAUUUCCUGUGUAGCGGUGAAAUGCGUAGAUAUAGGAAGGAACACCAGUGGCGAAGGCGACCACCUGGACUGAUACUGACACUGAGGUGCGAAAGCGUGGGGAGCAAACAGGAUUAGAUACCCUGGUAGUCCACGCCGUAAACGAUGUCAACUAGCCGUUGGAAUCCUUGAGAUUUUAGUGGCGCAGCUAACGCAUUAAGUUGACCGCCUGGGGAGUACGGCCGCAAGGUUAAAACUCAAAUGAAUUGACGGGGGCCCGCACAAGCGGGUGGGAGCAUGUGGGUUUAAUUUCGAAGCAACGCGAAGACCCUUACCUUGGCCUUUGGACAUGCUGAGACUUUCCAGAGGAUGGAUUGCUGGCUUUCGGACUCAGACCAGGUGCCUGCAUGCCUGUCGUCAGCUC
Molecule: ribosomal RNA, 1016 nt
Filed under: Pseudomonas sp.
Lineage: Bacteria; Pseudomonadati; Pseudomonadota; Gammaproteobacteria; Pseudomonadales; Pseudomonadaceae
Description: bacterial SSU rRNA
Rfam family: Bacterial small subunit ribosomal RNA
Source: RNAcentral